AUUGAACGCUGGCGGCAUGCUUUGCACAUGCAAGUCGAACGGCAGCGCGGGGGGCAACCCUGGCGGCGAGUGGCGAACGGGUGAGUAAUGCAUCGGAACGUAUCCUGUAAUGGGGGAUAACGUAGCGAAAGUUACGCUAAUACCGCAUACGCUCGAGAGAGGAAAGUGGGGGAUCGCAAGACCUCACGUUAUAGGAGCGGCCGAUGUCCGAUUAGCUAGUUGGUGGGGUAAAGGCCUACCAAGGCGACGAUCGGUAGCUGGUCUGAGAGGAUGAUCAGCCACACUGGGACUGAGACACGGCCCAGACUCCUACGGGAGGCAGCAGUGGGGAAUUUUGGACAAUGGGCGAAAGCCUGAUCCAGCCAUGCCGCGUGCGGGAAGAAGGGCCUUCGGGUUGUAACCGCUUAGUCCGGUAAAAGGGGUAGGACGGAGGAGUAAUACCCUUAGUGCUUUGAUGGUACUGGAAGAAUAAGACACCGGCUAACUACGUGCCAGCAGCCGCGGUAA
RNAcentral lists this ribosomal RNA (507 nucleotides) under uncultured bacterium. Its description in RNAcentral is "bacterial SSU rRNA". It matches the Rfam family "Bacterial small subunit ribosomal RNA", at positions 29 to 523 of the family's 1533-position model. The record is from RNAcentral.